RNAcentral lists this ribosomal RNA (794 nucleotides) under uncultured bacterium. RNAcentral describes it as "bacterial SSU rRNA". It matches the Rfam family "Bacterial small subunit ribosomal RNA", at positions 56 to 853 of the family's 1533-position model. The record is from RNAcentral.
UGCAAGUCGAGGGGUAUAUGGGGCUUGCUCCAUAGAGACCGGCAAACGGGUGCGGAACACGUACACAACCUACCCUUAUCUUGGGGAUAGCCUUUCGAAAGGAAGAUUAAUACCCAAUAGUAUAUUAGAGUGGCAUCACUUAAAUAUUAAAGAACUUCGGAUAAGGAUGGGUGUGCGUAAGAUUAGAUAGUUGGUGAGGUAACGGCUCACCAAGUCAACGAUCUUUAGCUGAUGUGAGAGCAUGAUCAGCCACACGGGCACUGAGACACGGGCCCGACUCCUACGGGAGGCAGCAGUGAGGAAUAUUGGGCAAUGGACGGAAGUCUGACCCAGCCAUGCCGCGUGAAGGAUGAAGGCGUUUUGCGUUGUAAACUUCUUUUACCUGGGAAGAAACCACAGAUUUCUAUUUGUGUUGACGGUACCAGGGGAAUAAGCACCGGCUAACUCCGUGCCAGCAGCCGCGGUAAUACGGAGGGUGCAAGCGUUAUCCGGAUUUACUGGGUUUAAAGGGUGUGUAGGCGGGCUAUUAAGUCUGGGGUGAAAUCUCCGAGCUCAACUCGGAAACUGCCCCGGAUACUAUUAGCCUUGAAUUAUGUUGAGGUUGGCGGAAUAUAACAUGUAGCGGUGAAAUGCAUAGAUAUGUUAUAGAACACCGAUUGCGAAGGCAGCUAACUAAGCAUAUAUUGACGCUGAGGCACGAAAGCGUGGGGAUCAAACAGGAUUAGAUACCCUGGUAGUCCACGCCCUAAACGAUGAUUACUCGUCACUGGCGAUACACAGUCAGUGACCAAGCG